GUAGUUUAGUCCACAGGUUCUUUCUGAGGUGAACUUGUUUAAUAAUAAGCGGUUAUCAGCCAUGCAGGAGCCUACUUAUGCCUCUUUAUAAUAAUAUCGCUCCCUUAAAUACCAUUUGUGCCUUAUAGUGCAAUUUUUUCUUCUGUGUUUUAUUUUACAGAUCCAUUCAGGUUUGAGAAUGCUGGUAGAAUAAUUUCUAUGUGCUCAGUGUACACACGCCACAGAUUUGGAUGGAAAGUUGGACGGCAAAGCAGGAAGCAAAAUUCAUCCUCUGGCCUCUGGAGGAAAGAGUGCGGUCUUAUUGCUGCAGUUAAAGUGCUUGUGAGCUGUGACCGUGAAAUUAUUUUCAAAUACUUUUUUUAAUGAACAUUUUUUGCAAUUUUAAACAUAAACAUACAUUGUUUAACAAACAUAACGGGAUAACAGAAAAAAAGAAAAAAAAGUGGGGGUGGGGAGGAAAUCAAGUGAAUAACGGGAAAUAAUCAUAAGCUCAUGAAAUUUUAUGCAUCACAACUUACGUAAUAAAAAUAGGUAGCUGAGGUAAUUAGACUGGUAUGUUAACCCCUUAAGGACACAUGACAUGUGUAACAUGUCAUGAUUCCCUUUUAUUCCAGAACCCCUUAAGGGGUUAAAGGACCACUAUAGUGCCAGGAAAACAUACUCUUUUUCCUGGUACUAUAGUGCCCUGAGGGUGCCCCCACCCUCAGGGUUCCCCUCCCGCCGGGCUGGAUGGAGAGGAAGGGGUUAAACUUACCUCUUUCUCCAGUGCCGGGCGGGAAGCUCUCCUCCUCCUCUCCUCCUCUUCGGCUGAAUGCGCAUGCGGGCAGGAACCGCGCGCGCAUUCAGCCAGUCCAUAGCAAAGCAUUCACAAUGCUUUCCUAUGGACGCUGGCGUCUUCUCACUGAUUUUCACAGUGAGAAGCACGCAAACACCUCUAGCGGCUGUCAAUGAGACAAUAAAAAAAUGGGUUAACCCUAGAAGGACCUGGCACCCAGACCACUUCAUUAAUUCACAAUGCUUUCCUAUGGACGCUGGCGUCUUCUCACUGAUUUUCACAGUGAGAAGCACGCAAACGCCUCUAGCGGCUGUCAAUGAGACAGCCACUAGAGUCUGUAUUAACCCAUUUAUAAACAUAGCAAUUUCUCUGAAACUGCUAUGUUUAUAGAAAAAAGGGUUAACCCUAGCUGGACCAGGCACCCAGACCACUUCAUUAAAGGACCACUAUAGUGCCAGGAAAACAUACUCGUUUUCCUGGCACUAUAGUGCCCUGAGGGUGCCCCCACCCUCAGGGUCCCCCUCCCGCCCGGCUCUGGAAGGGGGAAAGGGGUUUAAACUUACCUUUUUCCAGCGCUGGGCGGAGAGCUCUCCUCCUUCUCUCCUCCUCCGUUCCGCCCCGUCGGCAGAAUGCGCACGCGGCAUUUCAGGAUAUAAAGUCAUGCUGAUUGCUGGAUUAUAAUUGCACUUUCCUUGUAAUAAGUGACAGACUAAGUGUUUGCUUGAAUCGUUAUUGACUUUCUCUGGUUAUUUACUGUUCUGCAUGUUGCAGCCGACUUCAGAUAAGCAAUAGCAAGGUGAAUUAGGCCAGCUUCCCCAAACCCCGGCCCUCCAGAUGUUGCUGAACUACAACUCCCAUGAUUCUAUGAAUGAAAUAGACUGAGAAUCAUGGGAGUUGUAGUUCAGCAACAUCUGGAGGGCCGGAGUUUGGGGAAGCCUGGUCUAAGGUAAAGGUAGAUCUGGCAAGUUUUUGAGCGCAAUGGUCUUUGUGAACACCGCAAACAGGUAUGUAUAAUGAACAUACUACAUGUGACAAGCUAUUAACUUUCAUAGUAACUGUGUAAUAAAAAUGUCACAAUAAAUUCACACUGGCGUUGUAGUUGUUUUGAUUUGUAAGCAGGAACUCCAUACACAGCAGUAAAAAUGUGCAGAGAGCCACUAUCCAAUUUAUUUGCACUGUUAUUGACCAGACUUGUGCACAAAUGCGUUUCAGCUGGUUCAAAAGGAUCAAAUUCCUUUUAAUCCACACACAAAUGAGUAAAUCGUCCGAGAUUUAAAUGUCAUUUGUUCAACCCAGCUGAAAUCCAUGUGUGAAUUUUUUAUGUAUAAACUAUAUGUAUAUCUUAAAGAUAGGACUAUAAGGACUCGAAGAUUAAUAGUUAACUUUUAUGAGCUUUACAUAAAACAGGUCAAUGUUUCAGUUUUGUCCCAAAAAAACUUUCUUCAUGUUGUCCUGAAAAGACAGGGAGAGAAGGCAGUCGGCUUCCCUCCCCAACAGCACAACAGAGUUAGAUUAUCGAGUUUUGUGCAGGAUGAUGUCAGGGUGGAUGGGCCUGGUUGGGGCUGGUUACCUAACUAACUCAGGUACUUGGUUAGCCUACCCUUCAGGGCCAGCCUCUUGCACACAGACUCUGAGCCUGGUCCCAAGAGCUCUUGAAAGGGACUUGUGAUGGUAGCAAUCGAUUUACUAACGAUGCACUUUUAGUUUGAUAAAGCUGCAGCACCGUCUCCUAAC
Molecule: non-coding RNA, 2509 nt
Organism: Pelobates cultripes (western spadefoot toad)
Lineage: Eukaryota; Metazoa; Chordata; Amphibia; Anura; Pelobatidae
Source: the annotation of a GenBank genome assembly